GUUUUUCUCAAUCUGUGUAAUCAAAGAAUCUUAUAUAAUUGAUCUUCCAUUCUAUUUUGCAAUUGAGUCUUCUUAAUUUCCAUUGUAGAAAAUGCCUUACAACAAUUGCAGUUUCAAAAAGUAAUAUCGACAUCCAUUUCACAUGCAAAUAAACCAAUGGAUAUACCAGAUUUUUCUUCCUUUGAAUUAGCUUUCAAGUAAAACCACCAUAUCCCUUAAUUUACCUUAUGAAAUUGAGUUUGUCUACUGGUUUUAUCUUGAAACAAAAAUGAAAAGGAAAAAAAAAUGACAAUCAAUUCGUAAAGAAUGACAAAGAAUAAUAAUAAUGAAAAAAAGAUAUGAGAAAAAAAAUUGUGAUUUUGUGAAUAGGAGAAGGAAUAGAUAUAAAAGAUAGAAAAUGAAAAGUUAGAGAGAAAAAGAGAUGCAUUUUUAGUGUUUAGUAGACAGAUUUUGAUCUUUUUUUAGGUUUUAUUAUUUAUUUAAAAAGAUUAAAAUACUAAAUAUUAAGGGUAAACAAUUUAAUAAAUCUAAAUUUAUUAAAUACAAUAAUAUUUUUAAAAAUUUUAGUGGAGUUGAAAAAUUAUUUGUGAUUGUCAUAUAAAUAAUUUAACGUAUAGUAUUGUAGGGGCAAGGGGACGUGAGGCGAAAUAUCAUCCAUUAAAAUUAUAUAAAAUGCACCAGGUAA
Molecule: unclassified non-coding RNA, 685 nt
Filed under: Hevea brasiliensis (rubber tree)
Lineage: Eukaryota; Viridiplantae; Streptophyta; Magnoliopsida; Malpighiales; Euphorbiaceae
Source: RNAcentral